AGUGAAGUGAUGAAGCAAAGCAUGAGGGUAAAAUGGAGUGAUGUUGCAGCUAGGGAAUAUGAAUGAUUGUGCACAUGGUAGAGAAAGGAAAGGGAGGUGGAAUGAUGCAACAAAUGAGUCAAUUGAGGGAACAUGGAUGAUGAUGCACGGCAUAGGAAUCCAAAUGGAGUGCAAUGGUGGUGCACGGCAAUGAUGGAAAGGUGAAUGGUGGAGUAACACCCCUUUGUGGCUAAGCUUUUUGUCCUUUUUACAUUAAUUCUUCUUUCUCUUUAACACAUUCCUAGCCUCUUUCGUCUUCAAUUUCGUCCAUCCACCUUGCUCCAUGCAUGUGCUAUUCAUUCCAAGCCCAAAACUGCUCCAAAAUGCACCAAAAUGCAUCUUAUUGCUUCAUAAGGCCUAUGGACCUACAAACACAUGAAAAUAGCUUAAAAUACAUAAUUAACUAAGAAAUAACAACAUAAAUGCAUGAGAACAAGCUAACCCAGUCGCAUAAAUAUGCUCCUAUCAAAAUCCCCCACACUUAGCUUUUGCUAGUCCUCGAGCAAAACAAAACAAACAAAACAAACAAAACACAAUCUAGACCUUCCAACAUUUGCCUCAGGGAUUUUUAAUGAAACAUGACAUGUUAAAAAUCAUCAUUCCCACAAAUUUUGGUUAUCUUUACGCUUGAGCACAUACUUAAUCACAGUCACCACUUACUAGUUCACAAUUAACCAAUUAAAACGAUGUUUUGAAUGUAGUAACAUGCCUUAGAGAAUUUUCUCAAUUUCUUACAAGAUACUCUCUAUUUUCACACACAUUUUCUGACUACACACUUUACACUAGUAUAUGUGAGAAGAUUAAUGUAAACACGAAAGACUAGGACUCACAUAUGUUAUAACAAAGAAAGCAAUUUUCUGGAGUUAUUAAGCAUGUUUAGAUAUGAUCUCAUGAAUGGAAUGCUACUAUCUAGAUGUGAGAACCAAUGACACCAUAUGCUCAUACCAAUUUCGAACUCCACAAAUUGAAACACACAACACUCAAGAUUGAAGUCAAGGGUUGUAACAGGGCUUGGGGGUAAUGGCUAAUAAAGAAAGGAUAGGUAUAACAAACGUUCUUAAAGCGAUAGCAAGCAAAGCAAUGAAAUAGACACUUGGAAUUCACUUUAGAAUGCAGAAUCAACUUUUAAAUACAAAGGGAAGAUUCAUGCAACACUUAGGGCCGAAUUCAAUGUUUUGAACCAUUUUUUAACAAACUUUUUUCUUUUCACUCUUUUUUUUGUUUUUCUUUCUUUCUUUUCUACCCAUGCCUUAUUAAGGACUUUGGAACACACACACACACACACAAGAAUCACUUCCCCCACACUUGCUUUCUGCAAUACAUUAAUAAAAAGAGAGUUCAUUUUAAGUCAUGCUUUACUAUGCUUCAAGAACAAGGGUAUGGAUGGUCCUAAAACUAGGCUAGGUAAGGAUAGUGUGGAUUAACAAAGAACAUAGGCUUAACAAGGCUCAACGGGGUUAAACUUAAACACAUAAUGAAAUAGGGGCACUGCAAUUUGGCUUUGGUGGUCACUACACAACUUCAUCUUGAAUAUGUGUUAUGCAAAUCAAUAGCAUGCUUUGAAUGAAAUAGGCAUGAGUUCUAGCAUUUGGAACUAAAUGAUGAAACGCCUCCUAAGUAGUAACCAAGCAAAGAAUAAUGAGAUCACGCAACGACUUUAGAAAACAAUGAUGCAAAGAUUAUUAACUCUCCAAAUAAACGUUUAGGCUCAAGUCUCACAAGGUUGUAGCGUUCAUUUGAGUUCCUUCCUUUAAGCAUGUUACAAAAACUGAUUUUUCCUUUAUGAUUGCGUGUGAAUUCAUAAAUUAUAACCACAACCAAGCAUACACCAAAGAGUAAAUCAAAUUUUCAUCCAUGUUUAUAACUCUCUUUAACAGUCAUGUAAUUAAAAACCAAAUCCUCAUCAUUGUGUUGGAAGGUACCCUAAGACACAAAUAAACACACAAAAACAACUCUUUUUGGGUUUUUCAAAACAAUUUUUCAAAUUUUUAUGAGAUUUUCAGAUUUUUAUGUCAAAACACACUAAAACACUCCAAAACAGCUUAAAAACACUUAAAAACAGCAAGGAACAAUACUAGAAGUAAUGGGUGAUAAACUCCUACGAAUUUCAUGCAAAACAAUGGUUACCCCCCCUCC
RNAcentral lists this long non-coding RNA (2175 nucleotides) under Malus domestica (apple). Its description in RNAcentral is "long non-coding RNA (MDOM_LNC015395)". Lineage: Eukaryota; Viridiplantae; Streptophyta; Magnoliopsida; Rosales; Rosaceae. The record is from RNAcentral.